ACGCGCAUGAAUGGAUCAAUGAGAUUCCCACUGUCCCUAUCUGCUACCUAGCGAACACACGAGCCAAGGGAACAGGCUUGGAAUAAUCAGCGGGGAAAGAAGACCCUUUUGAGCUUGACUCUAGUCCGACUUUGUGAAAUGACUUACGAGGUAUAGCCUAAGUGGGAGCUCACGCGAACCUGUAAAACCACUACUCGUUUUGCCAUUUUACUUAUUCCGUGAAAUAGUGACCACUUUCCGGUGGUUCUAGUAUUAAGGUUAGGCGCAAGCUCGACUGAACUAAGCGGAAGACAUGGUCAGGUGGGGAGUUUGGCUGGGGCGGCACAUCUGUUAAACUAUAACGCAGGUGUCCUACGGUGAGCUCAGAGAGAACAGAAAUCUCUCGUAGACCAAAAGGGGAAAAGCUCACUUGAUUUUGAUUUUCAGUAUGGAAUACAAACUGUGAAAAGCUAUGGC
RNAcentral lists this ribosomal RNA (456 nucleotides) under uncultured eukaryote. RNAcentral describes it as "eukaryotic LSU rRNA". It matches the Rfam family "Eukaryotic large subunit ribosomal RNA", at positions 2309 to 2764 of the family's 3401-position model. The record is from RNAcentral.